AACUACGAGCUACAGCUUAAAACUCAAAGGACUUGGCGGUGCUUUAUACCCCCUAGAGGAGCCUGUUCUGUAAUCGAUAAACCCCGAUCAACCUCACCAAUCUUUGCUAAUUCAGCCUUUAUACCGCCAUCUUCAGCGAACCCUAAAAAGGGAUAAAAGUAAGCACAAUGAUUCAAAUCAUAAAUAAGUUAGGUCAAGGUGCAGCCUAUAGAUUGGAAUGAAAUGGGCUACAUUCUUUACUAAAAAGUAUAACGGAAAUUAUUAUGAAACUAAAAAUUGAAGGAGGAUUUAGCAGUAAAUUAAGAGUAGAGUGCUUAAUUGAAUUUGGCAAU
This 332-nucleotide ribosomal RNA is filed under the name Erinaceus europaeus (western European hedgehog). RNAcentral's name for it is "partial 12S ribosomal RNA". It matches the Rfam family "Bacterial small subunit ribosomal RNA", at positions 878 to 1375 of the family's 1533-position model. The record is from RNAcentral. Lineage: Eukaryota; Metazoa; Chordata; Mammalia; Eulipotyphla; Erinaceidae.